Molecule: ribosomal RNA, 467 nt
Filed under: uncultured bacterium
Lineage: Bacteria
Description: partial 16S ribosomal RNA
Rfam family: Bacterial small subunit ribosomal RNA
Source: RNAcentral
ACGAACGCUGGCGGCGUGCUUAACACCUGCAAGUCGAACGGAAAGGCCCUGCUUUUGUGGGGUGCUCGAGUGGCGAACGGGUGAGUAACACGUGAGUAACCUGCCCUUGACUUUGGGAUAACUUCAGGAAACUGGGGCUAAUACCGGAUAGGAGCUCCUGCUGCAUGGUGGGGGUUGGAAAGUUUCGGCGGUUGGGGAUGGACUCGCGGCUUAUCAGCUUGUUGGUGGGGUAGUGGCUUACCAAGGCUUUGACGGGUAGCCGGCCUGAGAGGGUGACCGGCCACAUUGGGACUGAGAUACGGCCCAGACUCGUACGGGAGGCAGCAGUGGGGAAUAUUGCACAGUGGGCGGAAGCCUGAUGCAGCAACGCCGCGUGCGGGAUGACGGCCUUCGGGUUGUAAACCGCUUUCGCCUGUGACGAAGCGUGAGUGACGGUAAUGGGUAAAGAAGCACCGGCUAACUACGUG